CCUUCAGAUUUGAGGAAUACUAGUAUUAUUAUCCAAACUUUGACACUAUAGUAAAAGAUUGCUAGAAGUCAACCAAGGCAUCACCCGACCUUGCAGCAAUGCUAGUCCUUAAACUCAAGAACCUCAAAAAAUAACUUCGACUUUGGGAGAAGCACACAGCGGGAGACAUAUUUUUAAAAAAGGAGCUCAGUGAAAAAAUAGAUAACUUAGAUAAACUGGAGAAAAAUACUGAUUUAUUUAUGGAAGAACUGGUUCGUAGAGAUAAUUCAAAAUAGAAUUAGAGGAUCUGAUAAACCAAGAAGAAAUAUUUUGAAAAUAAUGCUCAAGAAAUACAUGGCUUAGGAAUGGAGACUGAAACACUCGUUUCUUUCGUAUCAUUGUGAGUAAUAGAAGAAGGAAGAAUGAAAUGAAAAAAAUUUUCGAAGGAGGG
RNAcentral lists this long non-coding RNA (430 nucleotides) under Elaeis guineensis (African oil palm). RNAcentral describes it as "long non-coding RNA (EGUI_LNC040424)". The record is from RNAcentral. Lineage: Eukaryota; Viridiplantae; Streptophyta; Magnoliopsida; Arecales; Arecaceae.